Molecule: long non-coding RNA, 151 nt
Organism: Saccostrea cuccullata (small rock oyster)
Lineage: Eukaryota; Metazoa; Mollusca; Bivalvia; Ostreida; Ostreidae
Exons: 3
Source: RefSeq, a predicted model, not a curated record
ACGUGGAAUGGAGUAGUUGUGAUGGUCAAGAUUAACCCACAUACAUUGAUUUAGUAAACAAAAACACUCGUACAGCUGUAGAGUACAUUUUGAACAGCCAUCUCUAGGAUAUUCUCUGAAGACAGUGAUGUGCAUGUUCAAGGAUUGCCUG